GCCAGCAUGGUGUAAUGGUUUGCAUGUUGGACUACAACUCUGCAGACCAGGGUUCAAUUCCCAGCUCGGCCA
This is a non-coding RNA of Phrynosoma platyrhinos (Desert horned lizard), 72 nucleotides long. Lineage: Eukaryota; Metazoa; Chordata; Lepidosauria; Squamata; Phrynosomatidae. The record is from the annotation of a GenBank genome assembly.